GGUAUAGCUCAGUUGGUUAGAGCGCCAGAUUGUGGCUCUGGAGGUCGUGAGUUCGAAUCUCAUUAUC
Molecule: transfer RNA, 67 nt
Filed under: chicken gut metagenome
Also listed under: 1 other name
Rfam family: tRNA
About the family: Transfer RNA (tRNA) molecules are approximately 80 nucleotides in length. Their secondary structure includes four short double-helical elements and three loops (D, anti-codon, and T loops).
Source: RNAcentral